RNAcentral lists this ribosomal RNA (300 nucleotides) under uncultured bacterium. Its description in RNAcentral is "bacterial SSU rRNA". It matches the Rfam family "Bacterial small subunit ribosomal RNA", at positions 28 to 329 of the family's 1533-position model. The record is from RNAcentral.
GAUGAACGCUAGCGGCAGGCCUAACACAUGCAAGUCGAGGGGCAGCACGUCUUCGGAUGGUGGCGACCGGCGCACGGGUGCGUAACGCGUAUGCAACCUACCUCUUACAGUGGGAUAGCCCAGAGAAAUUUGGAUUAAUACCGCAUAGUAUACAGAUUCAGCAUUGGGACUGUAUUAAACAUUUAUGGGUAAGAGAUGGGCAUGCGUUCUAUUAGUUAGUUGGAGUGGUAACGGCACCCCAGACAGCGAUAGAUAGGGCCGUCAGAGGGGAGGUCCCCACCACUGGUACGUGAGACACGG